This 85-nucleotide transfer RNA is filed under the name Felis catus (domestic cat). It matches the Rfam family "tRNA". From Rfam's summary of the family: Transfer RNA (tRNA) molecules are approximately 80 nucleotides in length. The record is from Rfam by way of RNAcentral. RNAcentral also lists the same sequence under 6 other names. Lineage: Eukaryota; Metazoa; Chordata; Mammalia; Carnivora; Felidae.
GCCUGGGUGGCUCAGUCGGUUAAGCGUCUGACUUCAGCUCAGGUCACGAUCUCGCGGUCCGUGAGUUCGAGCCCCGCAUCGGGCU